AGCGAACGCUGGCGGCAGUCCUAACACAUGCAAGUCGAACGAACUCUUCGGAUUUAGUGGCCGCCGUCUGUGUAACACGUGGGAACGUUCCUUUAUGUUCAGCAUACCUCAGGGACUCUUGUGCUAAUACCGAAUGUGCCCUUCGGGGGAAAGAUUUAUCGCCUUUCGAGCGUCCCGAGUCUGAUUCGCUAGUUCGUGAGGUAAAGGCUCACGAAGGCGCCGAUCAGUAGCUGGUCUGAGAGGAUGAUCAGCCACAUUGGGACUGAGACGCGGCCCAAACUCCUACGAGAGGCAGCAGUGGGGAAUCGUGCGCAAUGGGGGAAAGGCUGACGCUGCUAAGCCGCGUGAAUGAUGAAGGUCUGGAGAUUAUAAAAUUCUAUCAACAAGGAAGGUAAUGACGGUACACGGAGAAGAAGCCCCGGCUAACUUCGUG
This 433-nucleotide ribosomal RNA is filed under the name uncultured bacterium. Its description in RNAcentral is "partial 16S ribosomal RNA". It matches the Rfam family "Bacterial small subunit ribosomal RNA", at positions 29 to 507 of the family's 1533-position model. The record is from RNAcentral.